Molecule: transfer RNA, 72 nt
Filed under: Betta smaragdina (blue betta)
Lineage: Eukaryota; Metazoa; Chordata; Actinopteri; Anabantiformes; Osphronemidae
Description: tRNA-Trp
Rfam family: tRNA
About the family: Transfer RNA (tRNA) molecules are approximately 80 nucleotides in length. Their secondary structure includes four short double-helical elements and three loops (D, anti-codon, and T loops).
Source: RNAcentral
AGGGGUUUAGGCUAAAAUUUAAACCAAGGGCCUUCAAAGCCCUAAACGGGAGUGAAAACCUCUCAACCCCUG